This 301-nucleotide ribosomal RNA is filed under the name uncultured bacterium. RNAcentral describes it as "partial 16S ribosomal RNA". It matches the Rfam family "Bacterial small subunit ribosomal RNA", at positions 509 to 807 of the family's 1533-position model. The record is from RNAcentral.
CAGUAGCCGCGGUAAUACAGAGGGUGCGAGCGUUAAUCGGAUUUACUGGGCGUAAAGCGUGCGUAGGCGGCUUCUUAAGUCGGAUGUGAAAUCCCUGAGCUUAACUUAGGAAUUGCAUUCGAUACUGGGAAGCUAGAGUAUGGGAGAGGAUGGUAGAAUUCCAGGUGUAGCGGUGAAAUGCGUAGAGAUCUGGAGGAAUACCGAUGGCGAAGGCAGCCAUCUGGCCUAACACUGACGCUGAGGUACGAAAGCAUGGGGAGCAAACAGGAUUAGAUACCCCUGUAGUCCCUGUCUCUUAUAC